Molecule: RNA transcript, 2876 nt
Organism: Cercocebus atys (sooty mangabey)
Lineage: Eukaryota; Metazoa; Chordata; Mammalia; Primates; Cercopithecidae
Gene name: arginine/serine-rich protein 1
Exons: 5
Source: RefSeq, a predicted model, not a curated record
GCGCAUGCGCCGGGGGCCAGCUUCUGGUACUUUCGACGCGUCUGCUGACGUAGGCUCUCAGUGCGCGUCCGGACGUCGAAGGUGGAGGUUGUAGAGUUCGCUGUUCGAGAGUGGGCACGAAACGCUCCUUUUAGUCCUGCGUUCCGAAAGGAGGGUGUCUGUUGGGCCUUUCUCUCAGUCGUGAGGGAGGCGUCGACGGCCUACGGAAGUCGUGAGUUGAGGCUUGCGGGAUCGUUUCCGGAGAAAGCGCAGGCUAAGGCCGCAGCGGAAGAUGUCCAACUACGUGAACGACAUGUGGCCGGGCUCGCCGCAGGAGAAGGAUUCGCCCUCCGCCUCGCGGUCGGGCGGGUCCAGCCGGCUCUCGUCGCGGUCUAGGAGCCGUUCUUUUUCCAGAAGCUCUCGGUCCCGUUCCCGCGUCUCGAGUCGGUUGUCGUCUAGGAGUCGGAGCCGGAGCCGGAGGAGUAGGUCGAGGUCCCGUUCCCGAAGGCGCCACCAGCGGAAGUACAGGCGCUACUCGCGGUCAUACUCGCGGAGCCGGUCGCGAUCUCGCAGCCGCCGUUACCGAGAGAGGCGUUACGGCUUCUCCAGGAGAUACUACCGGUCUCCUUCGCGGUCCCGGUCCCGGUCCCGUAGCAGGUCGCGCUCUCGGGAAAGGUCGUACUACGGAAGGGCGUACGCGAUGGCGCGCGGGCGGCGCUACUACGGCUUUGGUCGCACAGUGUACCCGGAGGAGCGCAGCAGAUGGAGGGACAGAUCCAGGACGAGGUCGCGGAGCAGAACCCCCUUUCGCUUAAGUGAAAAAGAUCGAAUGGAGCUGUUAGAAAUAGCAAAAGCCAAUGCAGCGAAAGCUUUAGGAACAACCAACAUUGAUUUGCCAGCUAGUCUCAGAACUGUACAUGUAGCCAAAGAAACAAGCCAUGGAAUAGGUGUAUCAAGUAAUGGUGCAAAGCCUGAAGUAAGUAUUCUAGGUUUGUCCCAACAAAACGUUCAGAAAGCCAACUGUCAAAUCUGAUAAGCCACUUACUAUUUACCUUAGACUAUACUUUUUGGGAAGUCUAGCUAUGUAUAUAAUGUGCUAAAUUCAGAGUAGCAGAUCUGAAGAUAAGCAAGGUGUCAUACCCAUGAAAAUGGGAGAUUAAUGAACUUUAGUGGCAGAUCUGAAGAUAAGCAAGGUCGUACCCAUGAAAAUGGGAGAUUAAUGAACUUUAUUUGGCCGUGCAUGGUGCCUCUUGCCUGUAAUGAGGCAGAUGGCUUGAGUCCAGGAGUUCAAGACCAGCCUGGGCAACGUGGAAAAACCGCGUGUUUACAAAAAAAUACAAAAAUUAUCCAGGCAUGGUGGCGCAUGCCCGUAGUGCCAGCUGUUUGGGAGGCUGAGGCAGGAGGAUCUUUGAGCCCAGGAUGCUAAGGUUGCAGUGAGCCAAGAUUGAACCAUUGUACUCCAGCCUGGGCAGCAGAGUGAGACCCUGUCUCAAAAAAUACAUUUAAUUUUUCAUUUUCAGUUAACACUGUACUCUUAUAACACCAUUAAUAUAUUGUAGCUGGUACUUCGGUGAUUCUGUUACCAGGUUUUCUAAGCUAUUUACAGUGCGUAGCUUUCAUUUGCAGCAUUAUGUUCCCACAAAUCUGUACUCAGCAUAUACAGUAUAGUUUAUCUGCUUUAUUUCUGUCUUAUAGAAAUCAUGAAUGUGGUCUGCAGACAUUGAUGAAGAAAAUCUGUUGAUGUUUUGAGAGAUUACAGAAGAGGAGGCCUGCUUCAUUUGCAGAUAAGUUUAUUAUAAUUCUCCACAAAUGUGCAGGAUGUGCAUUAGCAAAUUGCACUGUACUUUUCACUCCAGCCUGGGUGACAAAGCGAGACUCUGUCUCGAGAAAAAAAAAAAAAAAAAGAUGCUGUAUCUAAAUGAAUCUGUGUAAUUGGGCCCAGAUGUGGGUUUGCUCAGUAUUAGUAGACAAGGUCUUUGUUCAGACGAUUAGGUGCCUAACUGGCAAAUGUCUUAGCUUCUUAAAGCUAGGUAUUUCUGAUGUGGCUUUACUUUUCAAAAGUUAACUUGAUUCAACCUGAGAAAACUGAUUAAAAAACUAGUUUAAAAAUUACUUAAAUUUGCCAGCAGGGAAGUAAAAUAAUUAUGAGAAGAGCGUCUUAAGCCUAAUAUUAAAUCAGUUUUGUUAAGGGGAAAACUCAAUAAUUGUUACUUCAGCUGUUGAAUAUAUGGUUAGAUCCAAGUUGAUUUUUGUGUCUACAACUAAAUUUUGUAUACAAUUAGAUUAUUUUUUAAUAUAGGAUUUAGAAACCAAGGGUAUGUGUUUUAAAAUUAAUACUUUUUCUUGACCUGUCUAGCUGUCAGAAAACGUAACAGAAGAUGGAACUAGAAAUCCUAGUGAAAAACCUUCCCAGCAAAGAAGCAUAGCUUUUAGCUCUAAUAAUUCUGUAGCAAAACCAAUACAGAAAUCAGCUAAAGCUGCCACAGAAGAGACAUCUUCAAGAUCACCAAAAAUAGAUAAGAAAAAAAGUCCAUAUGGACUGUGGAUACCUGUCUGAAAGGAGAAAACUAAUGGCUAAGUUUGCAUGAAAACUGCACUUUAUUGCAAGUUAGUGUUUCUAGCAUUAUCCUAUCCCUUUGAGCCAUUCAGGGGUACUUGUACAUUUAAAAACCAACACAAAAAGAUGUAAAUACUUAAUACUCAAAUAUUAACAUUUUAGGUUUCUCUUGCAGAUAUGAGAAAUAGCACAGAUGGACCAAAGGUUAUACACAGGUGGGAGUCUUUUGUAUAUAGUUGUAAAUAUUUUCUUGGUUAUGUAAAAAUGAAAUUUUUUAGACAGAGUAAUUGAACUGUAUUCCUGUUUUGUAUAUUUAAUAAAUUUCUUGUUUUAAUUCUUA